Molecule: ribosomal RNA, 253 nt
Filed under: uncultured bacterium
Lineage: Bacteria
Description: partial 16S ribosomal RNA
Rfam family: Bacterial small subunit ribosomal RNA
Source: RNAcentral
UACAGAGACUGCAAGCGUUAUUCGGAUUCACUGGGCGUAAAGGGUGCGCAGGCGGCCGUGUGUGUGAGGCGUGAAAGCCCGAUGCUUAACUUCGGAAUUGCACCUCAAACUACACGGCUAGAGCAUUGGAGAGGGUAGCGGAAUUCACGGUGUAGCAGUGAAAUGCGUAGAUAUCGUGAGGAACACCAGAGGCGAAGGCGGCUACCUGGACAAUUGCUGACGCUCAGGCACGAAAGCGUGGGGAGCAAAAGGG